Molecule: ribosomal RNA, 522 nt
Filed under: uncultured bacterium
Lineage: Bacteria
Description: bacterial SSU rRNA
Rfam family: Bacterial small subunit ribosomal RNA
Source: RNAcentral
AACGAACGCUGGCGGCGUGGCUAAGACAUGCAAGUCGAACGGUAGGUUAUAGCAAUAUGGCCUAUAGUGGCGGACGGGUGAGUAAUAAAUAGGUAACGUACCCUGGGCACGGGGAUAGCGUCGUCCCGAGCAAUCGGGGGCUUUGCGAAAGUGACGGUAAUACCCGGUAAUGUCCUCGAGUGGCAUCGCUUGAGGACCAGAGGUGGGGACCUUCGGGCCUAUCGGCCUGGGAGCGGCCUACUUCCUANCAGCUAGUUGGUGAGGUAACGGCUCACCAAGGCUUCGACGGGUAACCGGACUGAGAGGUCGGCCGGUCACAUCGGGACUGAGACACUGCCCGGACAUCUACGGAUGGCUGCAGUAACGAAUAUUCCGCAAUGGGCGCAAGCCUGACGGAGCGACGCCGCGUGGAGGACGAAUUCCCUCGGGAUGUAAACUCCUUUUAGGGUUAGGAAAGCGAAGGGUGCUAACACCACUCUGAGUUGAUCUAGCCCAGAAUAAGCAUCGGCUAAUUCCGUGCCA